This 330-nucleotide long non-coding RNA is filed under the name Solanum lycopersicum (tomato). RNAcentral describes it as "partial TCONS_00029896". Lineage: Eukaryota; Viridiplantae; Streptophyta; Magnoliopsida; Solanales; Solanaceae. The record is from RNAcentral.
AGAGUUACCUUUUCAGGUUUCUCCUCUUCCACGGCUGUUUCUUCAUGCAUCUCUUCAACUGCUAGUUCCUUGGGUGUUUCUUCAAUUACUUGUUUUUCAGGUUUCUCCUCGAUUUUUGGUUCUUCGAUUGUCUCCUCAACUGAUGGUAAUUCAAACUCUUCUCCCACGGUUGGGUUUUCAGGUUUCUCUUCAACUGUCGGUUGUUCAGCAACCAUUAGUUCUUCAAGCUUCUCCGAAACAACUGAUUCUUCAGAUUUAUCUUCAAUUGCUAAUUCUUCAUGUGUUUUUCCAAUUACUGGUUCGUCAGGUUUUUCCUCAACUGAUGCAUAG